Molecule: unclassified non-coding RNA, 7851 nt
Filed under: Portunus trituberculatus (swimming crab)
Lineage: Eukaryota; Metazoa; Arthropoda; Malacostraca; Decapoda; Portunidae
Description: uncharacterized LOC123506307, transcript variant X5
Source: RNAcentral
CAGCGGACUCAGUGUGCAUGGGGUAGUGAUGCGGUGAGGUUGUGUCGCUCGCGUGCGUCAGUCCCUGUGAGCGGCGUCAUUGUUGCAACCGUUUCAACACCAGCCCAGCCCCGUUCCCGCGUUGUGUGCAGUGCCUUGGGGUUGAGUGUUGGCUGUGUACUGGUUUUACGUGGAAAUUAAGUAGGGUGCAGUGAGUGAAGUAAGCGAGAGAAGCAGGAUAGCGCGGCCCCGACCUGUGUUGACCCAUACACGCAGGACACAAGGACUGGUGGUGAGGGGCAGGCCGGGGCGCGGACACGCUCACAGGUGCCCUUGAUCCCUGUUGGCGGGGUGGCGGCUCCUGCCAGACUGGAUGAGCGAGGAGUGAUAGCAGCCUAGCCUCUGUCCACCCCCAGGAAGGACGUGACCAUGACAGUUCCCGGCACCGCGCAGCUCCCAGUCACCUAACCAAGUCUUGCCUGCUCCCGAACUUCCGACGCACUGCACCAUGGACGCCAGCAAUGAGUUUAAGGUGUUCCUCUCCCCAACGAGCGCGUCAGCCUCGAAGGGGAAGAAGAGCGAGGGCGAGAGUGGGGCCGGGGUGCGUCAGCGGCUAGUGCCGGUCAUCAACAAGGUGUUCUCGCCGUCACACUUCAUGCUGGCGCAGAGGAAGACCACGGUGUACAAGGCUGUCUCCGGCGUCUCUUUCCAGGACAUAGACAUUGGCGGCAAGAGGAAGUCCAGCAGUAAUAAGAGAGAAAAGAAAGAUAGAAAACCUGAGAAGAAGGAUGGCAUUUACAACCCCGCCAGCGAGGGCGAGCUGUCUCUACAGAGUACUAAGAGCGAGAGAGUGAGGUCUUUUUUAGGGGUGCGAGGAGAGGGGCGAGCAGCGGCCAGGAGGCAUCGCCACAGCCUUGGCAGCAAUAGCGAUCGCCCCUCCAUCUUCCUUAAUGACUCCGAGAAAUCAGGAUCCAAGAAGUCAAGGAUUCGCAGCGUGAGCACCGCUGACAACCUCUACCUCUCGCAGGACAAAGGAGGCGAUGCUCCAGAGAAACCUCUGAGGUCUCGGUCUGCCUCACGCCCGCGCAAGUCUGUCUCUAAAGUGACUGUGGACAGCAACACAGGCACUGGUGCCAACAGUGGUCAGAAGGGCAAGGAGGAUGAGGAGGACAAGGAGGAUGCAGGAAAAGGAGACUCUGCCGAUAAACGCGAGGAAGGCGAAAGCGACAAGAAGGCACAGUCUCGUGCACGCAAGAAGGUUUCUGGGAGGAGUCGCAAGUCCUGCCCUGAUCAGUUUGGACGCAAUGAAAAAGCCAAAGAGGAACGGCAGGAUGAGGAGCCUGAAGGAGGCUAUUUCAGUCUGGAGAAGGAGGAGAGGGCCGGUGGCGAUAUCAAGUACAUUUACGAAGCUCUCCCAAGCAAUUCCUCCGAGGAAUACCUUGAGAAUGAUCAGUGCGUGGAGGCAAUUUAUGUGUGUCAAGUGAUGAAGCGGGACAUGGACGUCAGCGAGGAGGAAGAACCCAUCUAUGAAAACUGUCAGCUGGUCAAGUCAAAGAGCGCCAAUUUUGUGUCCACGAGGGACGAAGAUGAGAACUGUCCAGCUGUGGAGCAUGCGAAGGAGAAAGAACAAGAAGAUACAAACAAGGAGGGUCGCAUUGCAAACCUGGCGGUGGAAAACCCUUUGGCGCUCACGCGUGUAACGGCAACACAGGCGAGGCUCAGCAGGCGGCGCCCUGCAGGCUCUGUCGACUCCAUUCCUUAUAUUGAUGACAGCGAAAACUCCGGUGACGAAUCAGUGACGAGGAGUCCGAGGAGCCCGAGGAUAAAACCCUCCGGCAGCGUCACUGUCGUCACCAUAAAGGAGGAUGACAACAUGGAAGUAACGCGCAAGGUGGGGCCGCUGCGGAGUCAAGGCAUGCUGUCUUCCUCUGAGGAUGGAGUGGACGAAUCAGCGUCAGAGGGUGGAGGAAAGCCCGAGCAGCCCCAGAUAGGCGGGAAUGCAAAGCCUGAGGACGAGGGCGAGGCGGGGUGUGCUCCGCGGCGGCCCGCCAGAUACUCCUACCCCGCUACCUCGCCCUCUGGCAUGAGGGUGUGCAACAAGGUGGGCCGCAGGCUGGCGCGCUUUACUCCUGCUUCAGUGGAGGGACGAGGCUCAGGAACGUCCAGUACGGCGGACGACGCGAGGGUGAAGAAGAGCAUGAGUCACGGGGACGUUCAGACUCACGUGGAGGGUCGUGACGGACCACUCUCAGAGUCUUUCUCCGACGACGACAUCCGCCACAACGAAGAAUUCGAAUCCUUCUCUGAGACGGACUCCGACCUCAACAACCUGGAUUACGAGUUGUUCCUGCCCCGCGAAGGGCGGGGUGGCGCUGGCAGGUCGCCGCAGAGAACUAAGCGGAAGCCGCGAGGUCGGUCAUUAUCUGCCUCACAAGCCGACCCCCUCCUGAUUUCUACCCCCACCAGAGCGCCUCGUGCCGCGCCCAGGCGUCGUGUCUCCACAAGCGCCGUGAGUGGCGGCUCGGGUGAUCUGCAGUCGCCCAAGACGUUUCAGGAUCUACUUGGAGACAAACACCUCAACCCCCCGGAAGGAGAGGCGGCUUCUCAGCCUAGGGACGGGCAAAAGCUAGUGCCUCUCAUCAUCCGCGAGACGGUGGAUGAGGGUGAUCCCUCAGGGGGCGUGGCGGCGACCCAGGCUCAGGGCGGCGAGCAGCAGCUUGCCCUGGACGACACGCUUUCCUUCACCUGGUCUGACGCCGAGAGUGAGUUCGAGUUCAUCGACUUCAACAAAGUGGAGCCACCCAAGACGUGCGUGGUGUACAAGGGCCUCGCCGUCACGUGUGCCGUGGUGGCCCUCUCCACCGCAACUACCACCACCACCACCGCCGCCGUCUGCACCGACAAGAAGGUCGCUGGCGCCGUCAAGAGAACACAGAGUAUGAAAGUGGUGGGUGAACGAGUGAGCAGCCGUGGCGAGGCGGGCCUUCGCUGGGAGCCCCUGCUGUGUGUCCUUCCCGAGGGUCUAGCCGCCUCCCACCAGGGUGGACUCGUGAGAAGUGUGAGCGGGGUGAGCAUUCGGCGGAGUGUGAGGGCGGACGGCAGCCGCUACACCGCUACCUCUGUUGACGCUAAGACCUCGCAGGAUGAUACAGGUGCGGUGGCCAGGGUCACUCAUGGAGGCCAAGGGUCAGCACCCCCCUCCCCCCAGCUGUCGUCCUCUCGCUCGGCGGACAACACGCCGAAGAAGAACAUUCUGCAGCGCAUCAAGCUGGGCGCCAGGAAUGCCUCCAAGACUACUAAGGGCAUUAAGACCGCCCGGGGCUCUGACAGCUGUGUGGAAGGUGGUGGAGAGGACGGCCUGCCACGUUCCCACUCCCACGAUGAUCUGUACCACUCCCCAGGCAGAGAUGGACAUGCCCCCUCCCCUCAACAAAGCCGCUCGAGGCAUCAGAACCAGGACGAGAUGCGGCGAACAGAAAACACACUCAAAAUCUGGAUUAUGGAGGCGAAGGAGAUUCCUAGCAAGAAAAAGUACUUUUGUCACCUGAUAGUGGACCUACAGCCCAGCCACCGCACAUGUUCCAAGCCCAUGACCAACAUGUGCUUCUGGGGAGAAUACUUUGAGCUAGACCUGAGUCCUGAGAUCACUAGCAUUGUUAUUGAGCUCAAGAGGGAAGGCGACAAGAAGUCAAACAAGAAGAUAGGCUCUGUAGAGAUUGACCUGAAACCGUCCAGCCCGGGCCGAGCCACCCAGGAGGAGCAGUGGUACCCUGUGAAGGUGGAAAAGCAGGACAAGACCACUCCAGCCCUCAGGAUAAGACACAGGUUCCAGUCGCUGGACAUCCUCCCUCUGUCCCAGUAUGGAUCCCUUCUUCAGUACCUGAAGGAGAAUGCCACCCCGCUCUGUCAGCUGCUGGAGCCAGUGUUGCCCGUGAAAGCCAAAGAAGACAUUGCCACUAUACUAAUCAACAUUCUGCAGGCUGAGAACUGUGCCAUUGCCUUCCUUGUUGAUCUUGUUUACACAGACAUCAAGACCAAUGCGGAGAACGAGCACCUGCUCUUCCGGGGGAAUAGUGUAGCCACCAAGGCGAUAGAAGCCUACAUGAAGCUGGUGGGUGAGCAGUACCUGCACGACACCCUGAAGGACCCCAUCCUGGCCCUCAUCACCAGUGCUGAGGACCUGGAGGUGGAUCCCCUCAAGAUCACCAACGUGCAGUUCCUGAAGGAGCACCACAACUCCCUCAGGGAGAAAGUGACUGCUGUUUGGGAAAAGAUCUUGCAAUCUAGUCGGAACUUCCCUGUGGAGCUGCGUGAGGUGUUCCAUAAGCUGCGGGAGCAACUCUCCCGCCAGGAGAAGUGUGAGCUGACCGACAACUUGAUCUCUUCAUGUGUGUUUCUGCGCUUUUUCUGUCCAGCUGUCUUGUCGCCAUAUCUCUUCAACAUGGCUACAGCGUACCCUGACGACCGGGCCAGCAGGAAUCUCACAUUGGUGGCCAAGACACUUCAGACACUUGCCAACUUCACUCUGUUCCAAGGAAAGGAGAAGUUCAUGGAAUUCCUCAAUGAGUUCAUCAGUAAGGAGCAGGAACGGUGCAGAGCGUUCCUCAGAGCCAUAUCUAGUCCCCCAUCACCAGAGGACAGUAUCCUGGAGUUUGAUGGAAAGAUUGAUCGGGGCAAGUACCUGGCCCUGCUCCACUUACACCUGGUGGAUGUCCUUGCUGAGAUGAACACUCAGGGUUAUCAGAGUGAGGCCAGCAAAGUAAUGGCACUGGUGGAGGACAUCAGUGCCUUGCUAGGUGGCAAUCACACUGUGCGUCGGCCCUCCAGUGGUCCCAUCCUCCAUGGCAGCCCAGCUCUUGUCCCGCCUCAGAUAACUGCCAGUAACAACAACUUCACGCGGGAGGAGUCUACAGACGGCAUAGAGGAGACAGGCACAGGCUUAGGAAUGCCGCCUCCCUCCAACAGGUCCCAAUCCUUCCCUCGCUCAGUCACUCCCAUCUACCCUCACCACCACAUGGUCACCAAUAGCCCAAGACAACCAUUCCAUCACCAUGUGAGGUCAACGGCUGGUGACCUUGGCACCAGUGAGGAGCACGUCCUCAUUACAGCCUUUGACCCCUCCUCAAGACCUCAGAUCUCCAUGAUCCCCUCCGAGGAAGCCAACAACAACAAUCCACCAUCAGUGGAAAUGCGGGUCAACAACAGCAACAGUUACUACAUGGGCGAGGUGCCUCCACCGCCCCUCCACCAGGUUCACCACCAGCCCCAGCGGGCGCUGCUGCACAACACCGCACAGACGCGGCAACACCUCAGAGGUCCACCCUCAAGAAACCUCUCUGUGGGAGAAGUUCAAAGUUCUGCUGACAGAAGAGUAUACGACAGAAAUUGUUCAGAGUUUUUUAGAUACAUGGAUGAUGCUGCUCACAAGUUCAUCGCUGCAUGCAAGGAUGGAGAGAACAACAUCCAGGGUUCCCAGACCUCCAUUUCCCAGCUUUCCAAUAUUGCCUCAUCAGGGUAUCAGAGCUUUGCCUACUCUCAGUCAUCUUCUCCUGUAGACUCCCUCCUCCACACUGACAACUCCAGCCUCCUCUCAAGGGAGAAUGGAAACCCAGGUCUGCCAGUGGGGAUUAGACAGGUUCACCAUGACUCACCUCUAGCCUCACCUCUGCACCAGCAAACUUCCAAGUAUCGGGCAGUGGGCAUGCACCCAGCCUAUCUGGGACAUGCAGGUCAUGCCUCCCUCCAUGGCACCCCCAGACAUGCCCCAAGAGUCCCUCACCCCAAAGAGAGUCCAAACAGCAGCCUGAGCUCCUCUCAGAGUGUUGAGGAUUUGUCCUCGAUGCGCCGAGGACGCACCCGACAGCGCCGCUCGGCUUCCUCCUCCUCAGACUCCUCCCCAGACUCUCAUCCUCCUUCCCAUUCAAACUCUCACUUUCGACGUGCACCAGCCCAUACUCCUCGCACCAACCCCCAUUGUUCUCCCCGCUUGGUGCCAUCUCCAGCCCUCAGGCAUGAACUUAGGUCUGCUAAACAGCGCCAUGACCGCAGUGUUAGUAGCAGGAGAGGGAGGAGUAACAGGUCAUCGGAGAGAGAGGACCUCCGAGGACCAUCCCACUGCUGUGACGACUCUGAGGACGACCUAAAUGUUGCUGUGGGAUCACUGGGUGGCGCAGGGGCUGGGGGCUGGGUGCGGGAGGGCUGGCAGGAGCACCACCACUUACUGGCCCACAACCUGCCACCACAGCAACUCCUUGACCAACAGGAAGACCAAAUGAGAGUCAUAAUUGAAAGGCUGAUGUCAAUGGAACAAGAGUUUCGUCAUGAGCAGGAAAUGAUGAGGCGAGAGAUGCACUACAAGGAUGCCAGAAUUGAUGCUCAGGAAAAGAAAAUUGCUGCACUAGAUUCAGCAAACACCCACCUCAUCCGCACCAUUGCCUCCCUCAACUCAAGGUGAGGGAGGGAGUGCAGCAUACCACCCCUGCAAGGGAAUAAGGAGUUUGUUAAUUAGAAAUGUAGCCUGGAGAGCUGAAGCCAGACUUAAGUGGUGACCUGCACAACGACUCCUGCAAUGCAUCUGACACCUCAGACUACAAGAGUUCCUCCUGCUGAGUGGUGCCCUCCUCCCUCCUAGCACUUAGUAGUCCUUGCAUUUCCCAGUGAAACCAAGUAAUAAAAGGUUGUAUAUAUUAUAUACUAAGGUAAUGUUACUCUAGUAUACUUGCCAGUUAUGAUGUUAUUAGAGACUUGUUCACAAAUAUCAAACACAAAAAUGAUACUAAUUUGAAUAUACGUAAUAUAAUAGAAAUUUUUAGUGUUCAAAUUACAGAGCACACACACUGUGUUUCUGUGCUGGGCAUUUAAGUACAAGGUCAUCAUUCCCUGUCUUAUGUCUGUCUUAAUUCUCCUUGAAUACUGAAACAACACAUUUCUGUUCCCUUCCCCUGAACAAAAGUGACAUCACACACAUGAUGUUUGACCUGGUAAGUCUCCCAGCAGUGGGAUUUCAGCCAGCCAGCCACGGCUCAAAACAGUUUGGCUUACAAGUCACAAUUCCUGUCCAUGUACAAUUUUUUCUUCAGUGUCACUCCACGACUCAAAACAGUCAAGCCAGGCCUGCAUCAUUCAUUCCUCCUUGCUCUUUUGCAAGAUUCUCAUCUGACAUUCCAUUUAUAUUAAAAAAUACUUGUCUGUAGGAAGACAAAUUAAACUUUUGUCUUAAUUUGCAGAAAGUAUUGUUUUUCCUAUGAAAUUUCUAAUGCCGGGAAUGUGAGUUGUUCUGUUGAUGCAAUUUCCAGUAUUCAGAAUUUCAAAUCUAAUUCCAUUUUUGUACCUUAAAAUACAAACAAUUUAUUCUUUUUCAUAGCAAGUAAAUUUAUGUAUAAUUUAACAAAGUUGUCAUUUUUAGAGACAAACAAGAAGGCUUUAUUCUGUACAGAUAAGAGUUCUUUAUUCUUUUGUAUAGUGUGAGAUAUAUGGACCUUGUAUAGUUAUGCUUUGUGUAUACUGUAGUUGAUGGUAGUACACACUGGAGAACACCAAAGAUUAGGUUAUAAAGUCCUGAUUUUUGAAGCUCAACGUCAGUGCAGUGCGUCCGACACUAUUUUAUGUACAUUAGAAUGUAAAUAAGUAAGUCCAUACAUAGAAAACAAAAAGACAGUGUAAUUUUUCCCAUAUCUUGAUAAGCUGAGGUUUUGAUACAGUAUAUAAAAUGUAUUAGAGAAUCUGUGUUUGUAAAACAUGUUUAUACAUAUUUAGAAAGCCAAAGGUUUAAACAAGGUUGUACAUUAUGAUAUCUACAUAAAUAAAGAUGUGGAUUAUGCUGUUUGUACCAAUUCUAUAAUAAAUACACUUCUUAAAUGAAGAUUUAUUGUG